AAUCAACGCUGGCGGCGUGCCUAACACAUGCAAGUCGCACGAGAAAGGGACUUCGGUCCUGAGUAAAGUGGCGCACGGGUGAGUAACACGUGAAUCAUCUACCUUCGAGUGGGGAAUAACUGAGAGAAAUCUUAGCUAAUACCGCAUAAUACCUACGGGUCAAAGCAGCAAUGCGCUUGAAGAGGAGUUCGCGGCAGAUUAGUUAGUUGGCGGGGUAAGUAGG
This 223-nucleotide ribosomal RNA is filed under the name uncultured bacterium. RNAcentral's name for it is "partial 16S ribosomal RNA". It matches the Rfam family "Bacterial small subunit ribosomal RNA", at positions 32 to 263 of the family's 1533-position model. The record is from RNAcentral.